RNAcentral lists this ribosomal RNA (201 nucleotides) under uncultured bacterium. RNAcentral's name for it is "partial 16S ribosomal RNA". It matches the Rfam family "Bacterial small subunit ribosomal RNA", at positions 524 to 723 of the family's 1533-position model. The record is from RNAcentral.
UACGAAGGGGGCUAGCGUUGCUCGGAAUUACUGGGCGUAAAGCGCACGUAGGCGGAUUGUUAAGUCGGGGGUGAAAUCCUGGAGCUCAACUCCAGAACUGCCUUCGAUACUGGCGAUCUCGAGUCCGGGAGAGGUGAGUGGAACUGCGAGUGUAGAGGUGAAAUUCGUAGAUAUUCGCAAGAACACCAGUCGGCGAAGGCG